UACGAAGGGGGCUAGCGUUGCUCGGAAUUACUGGGCGUAAAGGGCGCGUAGGCGGCACUGUUAGUCAGGCGUGAAAGUCCUGGGCUCAACCUGGGAACUGCGCUUGAUACGGCAGAGCUAGGGGAUGGAAGAGGGUCGCGGAAUUCCCAGUGUAGAGGUGAAAUUCGUAGAUAUUGGGAAGAACACCGGUGGCGAAGGCGGCGUCCUGGACCAACACUGACACUGAUGAGCGAAAGCCAGGGGAGCAAACGGG
Molecule: ribosomal RNA, 253 nt
Filed under: uncultured bacterium
Lineage: Bacteria
Description: partial 16S ribosomal RNA
Rfam family: Bacterial small subunit ribosomal RNA
Source: RNAcentral